This 467-nucleotide long non-coding RNA is filed under the name Homo sapiens (human). Its description in RNAcentral is "HSALNT0353495". Lineage: Eukaryota; Metazoa; Chordata; Mammalia; Primates; Hominidae. The record is from RNAcentral.
GAAAAAUAAAGUGAGAGGGCGCCUCUCCCAGCAAGGCGGCGCUCAGUCCACGGCCGGCGGGAGCUUCCUCCAGGCUGCUGCCCUGCUAGUGACGUUGAUUAUUGGAGGGCAUUUUACUUUCUUGGGAGACCUGGGUUUGGGAGCUGACUAUGCCAGGGAGGAAGCGGCUGGGACCAGCAGUUUGGUGGAAAGGUGCUGAGCAUGCGCAGCAACCAUAGCCUCAGGAUCUCCAGCGUUCAGCUCUCAUUUCCUGUGACUUCCGAAUGGGCACUUUGAGACAACCCACCUGGUGUCUUUCAUAACCUGGGUCCUGACGGCCCCUGGCAUUUCUUCAUCUGGGAUUGUGAACCCCCGUGGGCCAUGGCUAUGCCCCAUUCCUUGUGACAUACUCUGUGGAGGUGAGUUCAGAACUCAGUCCCCAACAUAUUUAUGGAGGCAAAUAAAAAACCCCAAAGGGGCAAUGCAGA